AUUGAACGCUGGCGGCAUGCCUUACACAUGCAAGUCGAACGGCAGCACGGGAGCAAUCCUGGUGGCGAGUGGCGAACGGGUGAGUAAUGUAUCGGAACGUACCUUUCAGUGGGGGAUAACGUAGCGAAAGUUACGCUAAUACCGCAUAUUCUGUGAGCAGGAAAGCAGGGGAUCGCAAGACCUUGCGCUGAUUGAGCGGCCGAUAUCAGAUUAGCUAGUUGGUGAGGUAAAGGCUCACCAAGGCGACGAUCUGUAGCGGGUCUGAGAGGAUGAUCCGCCACACUGGAACUGAGACACGGUCCAGACUCCUACGGGAGGCAGCAGUGGGGAAUUUUGGACAAUGGGCGCAAGCCUGAUCCAGCCAUGCCGCGUGAGUGAAGAAGGCCU
Molecule: ribosomal RNA, 387 nt
Filed under: uncultured bacterium
Lineage: Bacteria
Description: bacterial SSU rRNA
Rfam family: Bacterial small subunit ribosomal RNA
Source: RNAcentral